CGCCACCGGACUGCGACAUACGCGUCAACGUGCAGGGCGCCGCUGAUGCCACACAGGCGAGGGGUGACGUCACCGUGGAGGACGCCGAGCUCAGCCUCUCACCUCCUGUCUGCAGGCAGCUGAUGCGCUCGGCCGGUGUGAGCGGGGCCGGGGCCCGCCUGCUGCGCGCCCUCUCCCGGCACGCACCCUGCCGGAAGUGGAGCGACCAGCAGCGGGCCGGCUACAGCACGCCCCGAGACUACGCCGCCGGCGACGGCGGACCCCGCGGGGACGUCAUGAGCCGAGAGGACUGGCGGGUGCCGGCUGAGUUUCUGCCCGGCAGGCUGAAGGGUAACGCCCGCGCCCGC
Long non-coding RNA from Pollicipes pollicipes, 347 nucleotides. RefSeq lists it as uncharacterized. The transcript has 3 exons. The record is from RefSeq and is a predicted model, not a curated record. NCBI's taxonomy places the organism in Eukaryota, Metazoa, Arthropoda, Thecostraca, Pollicipedomorpha, Pollicipedidae.